CACGUAGGCGGAUUGUUAAGUCAGGGGUGAAAUCCUGGAGCUCAACUCCAGAACUGCCUUUGAUACUGGCAAUCUAGAGUCCGGAAGAGGUGAGUGGAACUCCUAGUGUAGAGGUGGAAUUCGUAGAUAUUAGGAAGAACACCAGUGGCGAAGGCGGCUCACUGGUCCGGUACUGACGCUGAGGUGCGAAAGCGUGGGGAGCAAACA
This 207-nucleotide ribosomal RNA is filed under the name uncultured bacterium. RNAcentral's name for it is "partial 16S ribosomal RNA". It matches the Rfam family "Bacterial small subunit ribosomal RNA", at positions 568 to 774 of the family's 1533-position model. The record is from RNAcentral.